Pelobates cultripes (western spadefoot toad) is the source of this 326-nucleotide non-coding RNA. NCBI's taxonomy places the organism in Eukaryota, Metazoa, Chordata, Amphibia, Anura, Pelobatidae. The record is from the annotation of a GenBank genome assembly.
CUUGAAGUCAUCUCAUUUAAUCGGAGAUAAAACCUCCAGUUAUUUAAAUAUGUAUAGGGAUUUGGGAUAACUAGUUUUUCUUCAUUUAAUCAGUGUCUGGCUUCCAGAGUUUAUUUUACUUUCAACUACCCAAAAUAAGUGCCAUGUUAUCUACUCCAGUCCCGAGCCCUACCUCAAUGGAGAACUGCUUGAGGUGAUUCAGUGCUGGUAAGAUAUAUUCAAUGAACAAUCAGAAGACGGUGAUAAGCAAAUGGUAUCAAUUUCCUAUGAAUAUCUAUUGUAAAUCCUGCUACAUACUAUUAUAUAUUAUUUACUAUUCAAACAAC